AAGGCUAUUUGUCUACAGGCAGAGCUUAUCUUCCCAUCUCUGCCCGGGCACAGGGAGGGAGUUCUCCGGCCUCUGGAGAGGGGGGAACCUGCCGGGAUCCUGGCGGGGCUGGAUGGAUUCACUGUCUCCAAGGAAACACUGUCACCUCGCAACGCAGUCACGUUAGGAGCUAUUGUUACCAAUCUCUUAAGCACAUCAAACAAAUUCCUGGGCUGAUCGAGCUGGUAUCAGUGAACUGUUUUUCCAGAAGGUGCCUAAAGAUAGGUUGGUGAUACCUGUAGCAAGAUAUGUGAUCAUCCAGCUGAAUCUCUGGUCUGCUCGCUCCAGCGACUUCACUUUCACCAAUUGCUUUCACAGUUUUGUCCACUUGAAGUUCAUACUUUCAUUGCUUAAAAGAUCUCCUGCUUCAUUAAUGGCUUGUUAAAUGCCUUAUUAAUUUAUCCAAGAACUGUGGAUGAAAAGAAAAUACUUAAAGAGGCUCAUACUUUAUGUAAUGUUCAGGAAAGUUCUUUACGAGCACCUCUUCACUCUGUUGGGUGUGCUUGCCUCAUUUGAAUGUGCUCAGCCAUUUUAGGAAAACCUUCCAGGCUUCCCUCUUCGAGUUUGCAGCUGAAAAUGCAAACAGGAGAUCCUUCUCUUGGUGGGAACCAACAGACCAAGGAGAAAAUUCUGUGAAGGAAAAAUUAGGGGGGACAGAUGUAAACCGGGCAGCAGCAGCAGAACUGGCCUCUUCUACCUCUCUGGAUUUUGCUGAGGGCUUUAAUAGAAUCACAGAAUCACAGAAUGGUUUGGGUUGGAAGAGACCUUGCAACUUAACUCGUUCCAAGUGCCCUGCCAAAAGCAGCUCAGCUGAUGAAGACAUAUCCUGGGUUUGGAGUUGGCAGGAGAGCUUUACACGGUCCUGCUCCUGGAAAAUGACAGACUGUCACUACCCUCUGGUGAUUCCAAGCUGCAGCCUGACCCAAGGAGAACAUUUCCCAGCAGAACCAAAGAAUUUUGAGACCAGUAUUUGUCUUGUAAUAAACUUCAGAAAUGUUAUUACUCCUGUGUCAAGCUAUGCUGACUUUUUGGCUGUUGCCUUUAGAAACAUGCACUUACAAAUACACUGACAGUGACAAAAGCCUCAAAUAAACAGGCUUUUUGUGUUACCCUGUUGGUGACCAGUGAGAUUUAGCAUUGCCCAGAGCAUGAUCCUUACAGGUCUCAGGGCAAGAGGGACUUCCUGAUAUCUUUUAUUUCUUAUGAUGUUUUAACAUAUUCCAUUCACUCUGCUCAGGCACUGCAAGGAUUCCAGGUUGGGCUUAAAGCAUGACUUUUACCAAAUACCUGUAAAUAAAGAACUAUGACUGGGUUCAAACUCUUUUGGUAGCAUUAAAAUACUUGAAGGAAUGGUUGAAGCUCAUCUUUUUCCACAGGCAAUUCCAAUCCCUUAAUGAGAACAUUACAGUCAUGAUUUAGACACAAUCCAGAUUUCCUCUGUA
This 1481-nucleotide long non-coding RNA is filed under the name Corvus moneduloides (New Caledonian crow). Its description in RNAcentral is "lncRNA (ENSCMUG00000017080.1)". The record is from RNAcentral. Lineage: Eukaryota; Metazoa; Chordata; Aves; Passeriformes; Corvidae.